RNAcentral lists this ribosomal RNA (497 nucleotides) under uncultured bacterium. RNAcentral's name for it is "partial 16S ribosomal RNA". It matches the Rfam family "Bacterial small subunit ribosomal RNA", at positions 28 to 507 of the family's 1533-position model. The record is from RNAcentral.
GAUGAACGCUGGCGGCGUGCCUAAUACAUGCAAGUCGAGCGAACGGACGAGAAGCUUGCUUUUCUGAUGUUAGCGGCGGACGGGUGAGUAACACGUGGAUAACCUACCUAUAAGACUGGGAUAACUUCGGGGAACCGGAGCUAAUACCGGAUAAUAUUUUGAACCGCAUGGUUCAAUAGUGAAAGACGGUCUUGCUGUCACUUAUAGAUGGAUCCGCGCUGCAUUAGCUAGUUGGUAAGGUAACGGCUUACCAAGGCAACGAUGCAUAGCCGACCUGAGAGGGUGAUCGGACACACUGGAACUGAGACACGGUCCAGACUCCUACGGGAGGCAGCAGUAGGGAAUCUUCCGCAAUGGGCGAAAGCCUGACGGAGCAACGCCGCGUGAGUGAUGAAGGUCUUCGGAUCGUAAAACUCUGUUAUUAGGGAAGAACAUAUGUGUAAGUAACUGUGCACAUCUUGACGGUACCUAAUCAGAAAGCCACGGCUAACUACGUG